GGUAUGCACUGGCUUCGCUGAUUCCUCCUUUCUGAAGAACUGUAAUGCCACUAAUUUGGUGUUGCAGGGAAACAGGACUGUUACUUUGAAAAAAUUAGAGUGUUUAAAGCAGGCUAACGCUUGAAUACAUUAGCAUGGAAUAAUGAAAUAGGACGUUCGAUCCUAUUUUGUUGGUUUCUAGGAUGGACGUAAUGAUUAAUAGGGAUAGUUGGGGGCAUUAGUAUUCAAUUGUCAGAGGUGAAAUUCUUGGAUUUAUUGAAGACUAACUACUGCGAAAGCAUUUGCCAAGGAUGUUUUCAUUAAUCAAGAACGAAAGUUAGGGGAUCGAAGACGAUCAGAUACCGUCGUAGUCUUAACCAUAAACUAUGCCGACUAGGGAUCGGAUGAUGUUAAUUUUUUAAUGACUCAUUCGGCGCCUUACG
This 422-nucleotide ribosomal RNA is filed under the name uncultured Glomeromycotina. RNAcentral's name for it is "SSU rRNA". It matches the Rfam family "Eukaryotic small subunit ribosomal RNA", at positions 672 to 1092 of the family's 1831-position model. The record is from RNAcentral. Lineage: Eukaryota; Fungi; Glomeromycota.